Molecule: transfer RNA, 65 nt
Filed under: Vibrio sp. qd031
Lineage: Bacteria; Pseudomonadati; Pseudomonadota; Gammaproteobacteria; Vibrionales; Vibrionaceae
Description: tRNA-Asp
Rfam family: tRNA
About the family: Transfer RNA (tRNA) molecules are approximately 80 nucleotides in length. Their secondary structure includes four short double-helical elements and three loops (D, anti-codon, and T loops).
Source: RNAcentral
CAGUUGGUUAGAAUACCGGCCUGUCACGCCGGGGGUCGCGGGUUCGAGUCCCGUCCACUCCGCCA